RNAcentral lists this ribosomal RNA (433 nucleotides) under uncultured bacterium. RNAcentral's name for it is "partial 16S ribosomal RNA". It matches the Rfam family "Bacterial small subunit ribosomal RNA", at positions 29 to 507 of the family's 1533-position model. The record is from RNAcentral.
AACGAACGCUGGCGGCAUGCCUAACAUAUGCAAGUCGAACGAGACCUUCGGGUCUAGUGGCGCACGGGUGCGUAACGCGUGGGAACCUGCCCUUAGGUUCGGAAUAACUCCCCGAAAGGGGUGCUAAUACCGGAUAAUGUCUUCGGACCAAAGACUUAUCGCCUUUGGAUGGGCCCGCGUUGGAUUAGCUAGUUGGUAGGGUAAAAGCCUACCAAGGCGACGAUCCAUAGCUGGUCUGAGAGGAUGACCAGCCACAAUGGGACUGAGACACGACCCCGACUCCUACAGGAGGCAGCAGUGGGGAAUAUUGGACGAUGGGCGGAAGCAUGAUCCAGCAAUGCCGCGUGAGUGAUGAAGGCCUUAGGGUUGUAAAGCUCUUUUACCCGGGAUGAUAAUGACAGUACCGGGAGAAUACGCUCCGGCUAACUCCGUG